AUGAACAAGGUGCUGGCCUUCUCGAUCCUUAGCGCGUCGCCGGCCGACAUCGCCCCCGAGGGGAGCUGGGCUCGGCUCUCCUGGCGGGGGAGGAAGCUGCAGGAGGACAAACAGGCUGGAGCAGGGCAACAGGGGAAGCAGGGCGGUCUACGGCCGGAUGCAGAGCAGCAGGCGGGCAAGGGAAAUCUAUUUUGA
RNAcentral lists this ribosomal RNA (195 nucleotides) under Triticum aestivum (bread wheat). RNAcentral describes it as "partial small subunit ribosomal RNA". The record is from RNAcentral. Lineage: Eukaryota; Viridiplantae; Streptophyta; Magnoliopsida; Poales; Poaceae.